UGGCGAACGGGUGAGUAACGCGUGAGGAACCUGCCUCAAAGAGGGGGACAACAGUUGGAAACGACUGCUAAUACCGCAUAAGCCCACGACCCGGCAUCGGGAAGAGGGAAAAGGAGCAAUCCGCUUUGAGAUGGCCUCGCGUCCGAUUAGCUAGUUGGUGAGGUAACGGCCCACCAAGGCGACGAUCAGUAGCCGGCCUGAGAGGGUGACCGGCCACAUUGGGACUGAGACACGGCCCAA
Molecule: ribosomal RNA, 240 nt
Filed under: uncultured bacterium
Lineage: Bacteria
Description: partial 16S ribosomal RNA
Rfam family: Bacterial small subunit ribosomal RNA
Source: RNAcentral